RNAcentral lists this unclassified non-coding RNA (332 nucleotides) under Basidiomycota sp. Its description in RNAcentral is "partial contains small subunit ribosomal RNA, internal transcribed spacer 1, and 5.8S ribosomal RNA". The stretch from base 1 to 47 matches the Rfam family "Eukaryotic small subunit ribosomal RNA", at positions 1785 to 1831 of the family's 1831-position model. The record is from RNAcentral. Lineage: Eukaryota; Fungi; Basidiomycota.
AAAGUCGUAACAAGGUUUCCGUAGGUGAACCUGCGGAAGGAUCAUUAACACGUAUCCACGUAUCCACCCCUGUGAACUCACUCUCCCCAAUAUGAGAAUAGUUGUCAACACGGCUAGUGAUGGGUGCAUUGCCUAACAAGCAAUGCGCAGCCGGGUUGACUAAGGUUUCAUCCUAAGACUUUCUCUACGUUGGGCCUUCUCUCCAUCACUCCUUCUCACAAACACUUCUCACUCUAAACUUAUCUUGACUGAUAUACUUAUGUAAGAGAAAUCUGGCAUAAGCAAGUUAUUCAAACUAAGCACAACUCUUAGCAAUGGAUAUCUUGGUUCUC